Molecule: long non-coding RNA, 5773 nt
Organism: Halichondria panicea
Lineage: Eukaryota; Metazoa; Porifera; Demospongiae; Suberitida; Halichondriidae
Exons: 4
Source: RefSeq, a predicted model, not a curated record
GGAAGUAGACACAUUAGUGUGACGAUUAGUACCAGGUCCACAUGGCUUUGACAUGUACAGGAAUGCAAUGAUGCAAAUACUAGAUCUAGUUCUUUCAAGCUCCAAGUACGAGUGAUGGAGGAAUAUUCUAGCUGUAACAGCUCUUAGUAACAUUCACGUAUUGUAAAUCCAACAAAUCACCUCCAGUUGAUCAGCAAACUCUGCCUUGAGAGUUGAAACUGACGAUACCCUUUUAUGUCGAAACAAGAAACAAUUGAAGAAUCUCCAAAAUAAUGAAGAAAAUGUACGUUGCAUCAAGUGACCCCAACGACCUAUUGUAUGAUGAUAUCUUAAGCAGCACGUUCUGGAUUCUAGGAAAAUAUGACUCGAGGCUGGGAGGAAAAUUGAGGAGCUGAGUUACGUCUCACUACAAGAGGAUAUGCAUCAAUAUAUCGUCCGCUACUGUGCAUGGUUACUCUGAGGACAAGCAUAAGAUUCAAUGGUUGUUCCCACGCAAGAGGAGGAUAAAGUGAGGAAAAGAACUGAUUGAGGGAGUGGAAGAAAAUGGUGACCCUCGCCUUGAGGCAGCACCUCACCAAGCAAGGCUAUCUUGUGGUUGGUUCCUCCGGGGUGAAGAUGUAUCUAUGGACCAAGUCUGUUCUGAGGGGGAGGGGUGAUUGUCACAAGUAUUUGUUCUACAGUAUCGAGAGCCAUUGAUACAUGGAAACCACACCUGGUCUGGCCUGCACCAACAGGCACUAUACCAACCCAGUGGGCACGGAGUGGUGUUGGAAGAUGGACGAUGCGGAUAAAAAAACUCACUACCAAAAUGGUCAAACAAAUUAAAGGUCAGGUUAACAUGCACUAACUGACUGUACGGCUAAUGUCAACAUACACAAUACAAAAAGGUGCUUUGUUAUAGCUAAGUCUGUGCUCGGUGGUUUAAAAACGUAAUUUAGGCUUGUAUCUGUUCAAUAGUUUUGGUCAAAUCGACAGACUCAAUUUUUCCAACCAGCUGCGUCCAAUUGCCGUCUCCCUGCUCGUAGUACGAGUGUGAGGUGUAGGUGCUGCCUCCGAUUAUGCCUGUGUUGUGGAGGUUGUUGGCCGGGUUGGCAGGGUCAACGAUACGGGGGAGCCUGGCUGGAAACAAGUCUGGGUAGUCCCCUGGUUUGUAGUAGUCAACCCAAUAGAUACUGUGUGCAUGCAUAGAUUGGAAAAUACCUUGUGAAAGAAACGUUUGACACUGAAAUUCUGCAUGUGUUGACUUUAGUCAUUUGUCUAAGCAAAAUAAUGUGAUUAUGUUAGUUUUCACAAUUCGCUAACACAUAUAGUGCGUGUGGCUAGUUUUAGACUCAACGUACUCCGCUGUUAGGUGAGAUUUCACUAUCUGCUUCAAAGUGGCUGUUGUUCUGUAGAAACGGAAGCUAAUAAUUAUUUGUACACAAGGGAGUUCCCCUACCGUUGCUCAAUAGUUCCACCAUAGUGCUGUUUCAAUGCCAGCUCAUAAGCUCUAAGCACCAGAAUUGAGAUGAGAUAACUCUUUGGCCUUCCAGUACAUAGCUUCCCCUCAGGCCAUUCUUUGUUCCUCCACGCCUUAGCACGGCGAAUAAGUUCUUUAGCCUGUAGGAUUUUAAGUAUACAAAUUGAAACGCAUGCCCUAGCUACUGUAUACAUGUGUGUCAGAUUCGUGACAUUGUACAUGUGUAUACUCACUUUAUCAUCCUGCUUUUCAAUAAAUGCAACCUGCCAUUUUGAAGCAUUCACUGAGAAUCUAAUGUGCAUGGUAUAGUGUUACAACUCAACACUUGUUGUGUUGUUAUUGUGUGUUUAGCUUACCGAAAUAAUUGGGCAGGUUUUGCUCCGUCUUGUUUGGCUUUCCUCAGGUAGUCAUAGAGAUCUGCUGGAUUCUCCCAUUUUGGGCUGACCAAGACGUCAACGUCUAUCGAUAGCUCUCGAUCUUGCUGGUCAUAUGUCUUGUAUUUCAGUGACACAGACAUUUUUAGUGGUGUUUGAAGCAUGACACUCCGUAGACCUCCCAAAAAGCUUCGCAGUUUGUGUAGAGGCGUACGAUAUCCUUCACUCAGGACAGUGUCUGGAUCCACACCUGUAUAAUUAAGUGUACUUGAGUCUCAUUAAUUAAAGUAAGCCCCCUUCCGCUAUUUGAGGUUUCCUAUAAUUAUGUAUAGCGAGGUUUGUUAUGUAAUGAUUAUGUGUAGAGUAUCGACAUUUUAUCUCAGCAUAUGUAUUUGCUGCACGAAAAAUAUUGUUUGUAGGGCAGCCAAGUGAGUAACUUACUCUCUGAGUAGACCACUAGGUCCACAUCGAAGUUGCCUGGAAUGGCUGUGUACUGACCAAGGGAGCCAGCCUUGAGCACCUGGACUCUGUUCAGGCCAUGUCUAUGAUGCUAGUGAAUAUAUGUGUUCAUGCUAGUUACCAUAAUUAUAUACAUGUAGUAAAUGUGACACAGAUAUGUUCCCACCCUGGUCGUGGUGAUUAGUACAAACAUAGAUUGAAGAGUUAGAGGGAUAGGAAACGGUUUGUAUCUCGAGUAACAUCCGCGCUACGCUGCGGUUUAAUCGAGGCCAUCACAACAAUAUCUAUUUCUACACCCAGUGCAUAAUAAACUACAAGUAACUGUGCUUAGUCCGUGCAACUCACUUAUAUUUCUAGGUCUAUACCUAUUGUAGUAGUCAUAACCAGCACGCUUACACGUUACAUGUUCCAAUAGCUCUAAAACAGCCUUGGGAACAUAUAACUUUAUUGGAAAGUCUCUUUUUACUGGGUGUGGUCAGUCAUUAGCAAGUACUAUACACGUGGCUCAUGGACUAUAGGGGUGUUAUAAGUUGCUGAAAGAGAUGAUGUCUCGAGGAAACACAGCUUUGGGUACCCGGCAAAAAUGUGCUUAAUAGCCUCGUUCAUAGGGCGUAAUGCGGAUAAUUUUCGUGGCUCCACUGCAGAUUCAAUGUAAAAUCAUCACGUGCACCACUCCGUUUCCUAUCCCUCUAACUCUUCAAUCUAUGGUACAAACUACCUCGAGAAAAUUGCUCUAGACAAAAAUAACCACCUCUUAUAGGCACAGUUUUACCACAUAAUACUAAUAUGCUAAACCACAGGCAAUUUGUGUGAUUGGAAUUAGCCACCACCUGGGCACAUCAGUGGCACUGAUAUCGACUAUCGAUCCUGACUUACUUUUAUUUCUCUUGCAAGCUCAUCCACAACUCUCAUAGCAUCAUCAAAUGUGAUGUCCUUGUUCCUUGCCAUCUUCUCUCUCUUUUUCUUUUCACUGGUCAACUUCUAUAUACCAGUCAGCUGUUAUAUAGGUUAGUCAAUGGUUGUGGGUUUCCCCAUUUUCCUACGAACAGUAUUCAUAUUUGGCUAAUAUUAGAAUGAUUAAUCAUGAGGAUGACGUGCUAAUUUUGUUUUGUAGACAAGCCAAGAAUAGUCGUCACUUGAUGAUGAAACCUACUUCAUGUAAUAAUUAUGCCUCGAGGCGUAGCCGCACGAGGGAUACGGUAAAGCUGACUGUGUGUGUGUGUGUGUCUGUGUGUCUGUGUGUCUGUUCCAGCUGUAACUGCUCAACGGUUGCAAUGCGACAAAAACUAACAGCUUCUAUAGGCUUCUAGCCACGUUCUCUUGGAUUUUGAUUCGUGGAUUUGCAAACUAAAGCUUCUUUCUCGAGUUAUGGCUAGUUUGACUCACAUUGAAGGCUGUUGCAGUCUCUUCAGAAUCUUUCAUAGCAUCAUCUGUCCGCACAAACUUUCUAUUCAACAUAUGAGUUAGCCUUGCACUAAAGCGCUAGCUUUUUGUUAGCUACAAUACUCAGAAAAUAUCUGUUAAAACAGCUAGCUAGCAGUAGCCAUUUGUGAAAUUGAUCUCUUUGGACACACCCUUUAAUUAUUCCUGUGUAUGUAAUGCGCAUGCGCGCUCAUUCCCCACGUGUGAGAAAAUAAUAAUAUCCAAGAUCCAGAUCCAGAUCCUCCUGGCAGAAUCAUCUUUGUCUUGAAGGCCUGGUAAGCCACAAAACACUACCAUAUAACAAUAUAGAUAACAAUAUGCAUGUACACAGGUCUUUUCUUCUUAGAUAUUAUAUACACUGAACUACAGAUCUUGGAAGAAUCAAUUUUUUUCUUUCUUGAGGUCCUAGUAAGCCACAUAAUACAACAAUAGAUGCAUGUAAAUAAGUCUUUUCUUCUCAGUGACUUUAUAUAGAUAAGCUAACUUUAAUAUAAAAUUCAUUAUAGAAACUAAUAUAACACUCUAAUACUUUUCAGCGAAAGCAAAAACAUGGCGAGAGGCAUUAGCACAGCGCCAGCUUGAACACUAGUUAUGUACAUGUACCUACGGUGUACUUCAUUGUACAGAUGUCACUUGAUUAUGUGUUUGUGUGGGUGUGUGCAUGCAUGGGAGGUUUUAUAGUAUACUUGGAAUUUGGGUUGUUUGUUUGAACUGCUACUAUGACUUGCAGAAAAUAUUUUCAUGGAAAAUUUGAUGCAGAUGAAUUUACUACCAGUAUUCAUGGCUUUGUGGAGGCAUACAAUGAAUAACGAACUAUGGUAGUAGGGCACAGCUAUCCUUUGAUGUAUAUAGGGGCUUUAUUUGCCAAUAUGCCAUGUCAUUCUGGUACUUACUGUGUCACCUUCCGUGUACGUAAAAUUGUGCAUGGUAGUAUACAAUAAAUCACGUUUGCUUUACGAAUGUACAUUUUACAUUCGGUUUUAUCAUUUACACAAAUUUGUCUCUGAAGCUAUUAUAACUAGGCAACUAGUCUUACAUUACAAUGUAUAUAUACACACCUGAUACUCUAAGCACACAGGUUAAUGUUUUAUAGUUCCAAGUCAUGCUUGGCUACACUAGACGCUGUAGCAGGUCCACUGAGUGUAUGUUCUCUACCAGCUCAGACCACCCGUCGCCUCUCUGACCACGACUCUUGGCGACGCCCGUGUCAUACAGAUUAUUGGCUGGGUUGGCCGGGUCAACGAUACGCGGCAGUGAAGUUGGGAAGAGGUUGGGACCAGAGGGCACACCUCCACCCACGCUAUAAAACUUCUCCCAGUAGAUACUGUAUGCAAUGCAAUCAUACAUGAGAUAAAUUAAUACGUACCAUAUAUUGCUGACUUACUCUAUGCCGUGGCGGUUAAGGAGGAGAUUCUUCAGCUCAUCCAUUGUGCUAUAGUGUGUAUAUACAUAUCAUUUGUGUAGUUUAAAGUGUUUUUAGCUUACGCUUCGGCGAUCCUCCUUGUGUUGGAAGUUCCCAUUCUCUUUGUGGCCUUCUCGUAGGCGUUGAGUACGAGUAAAGAGAUGAGGUAGGACUUGGGCUUGUUGGACAGCUUCCUUUCGGACCAGAGCUUGUUACGCCAAGCCUUUGCACGCUUGAUAAGCUCCUUCACCUGUAGCUCAGUGUAAUUGUCGAUCAUGCCUUAGGCUAUACAGUACCUGGUUAGGUUGUUGCUCAAAGAACUCCACCUGCCAUUUAGCUGCACACACAGAGUACCUGCACACGUACAGCAAUAUCUAAAAACUGCAGCCCCACCUUUGUAUGCAUGGAAUGGCCAUGUAUUUGCAAUUGCAAUGUAAUUUGUCCGUUUAAAUUACCUGCUAUAUAUACUGUUAACUGUACUCACUCGUAUCUUUCUUCUUUUGGGACACCUCGGAGGAAGUCGUAAAAGUCGUGUUGGUUGUUCCAGUACGGACUAACCAGGAGGUCAACAUCGAUAAUGUCGUCAAACUUAAACUGGACGGAAAACUUGGUCCGUUUGGUUAUCACGACUUUGGGCUGUCUUUCGAGAAACGUCUC